This is an RNA transcript of Frankliniella occidentalis (western flower thrips), 1941 nucleotides long. It is a transcript of the gene named palmitoyltransferase ZDHHC16, with no coding region annotated. NCBI's taxonomy places the organism in Eukaryota, Metazoa, Arthropoda, Insecta, Thysanoptera, Thripidae. The transcript has 11 exons. The record is from RefSeq and is a predicted model, not a curated record.
CAUGUCUACUGCUAGAGGCGUCUGUCAAAACAGCCGACGGAUAGUUUGUUUUUAUUCGUUCUCACAUAAAAUUGUCAAGAUCCUGCAUGACUCCUAGAAUGCCAACAGCUAAGCCGGGUUUUUGUUAACAUGAUGAACAUAAUAAUACAAUUGGGGACCUUAUGUUAAUGAAUGAGUUUCAGAGGAAUGAAGUCUUUUGUAACUGGUAACUAUGGUGCGUGUCAAUUGGACAUUCUUUUCACUUCCCCAAAGGUUAAGGAAAUGGGUGACAUGGAACUACUUAGAUUUGACUCUCACAGUUCGCUCUCUCACCUACAACCAUUUUAUGAACUCAAGUUAUGCAUCAGAUGUUGUCUUAGAACCAAUGAUUUGGUUUGUCGACAAUUUCACAAAAUUUCUGGGUCCUUUUUUUGUAGCAUGUGUAUUAGCUCUUACUUCAUCAGUUGUAGCAAUAUUAUAUUGGAUUGGUCUUCCUUACUGGUGGGAGAAAAGCCCGAUUGCAACAGUGCCAAUACUAAUAGUUGGGCAUUGGAUCCUAAUUAACAUCUCCUUUACCUAUUAUAUGGGUGUUGUAACACCUCCUGGAUACCCACCUGAGGGGAGUCUCAUAACUGAAGCUGUGAGCAUCUGCAAGAAGUGUAUUGCCCCAAAGCCACCAAGAACUCAUCAUUGCUCUGUUUGCAACAAAUGUGUUUUAAAAAUGGAUCAUCACUGUCCAUGGUUAAACAACUGUGUUGGCCAUCUAAAUCACCGGUACUUCUAUACCUACAUGGCGUGGAUGUGUAUAGGAGUAAUUUUUGUAAUUAUAUUUGGAUUGGAAAUUCUUUAUAAAGAAAUCAUAUCAGGCUAUUUUUAUGAUGAAGAAUUGGAAGAACUUGAACUGGAGGGACAUCCAGUUCGUAUUAAUACAUCUGGUGCUAUCAUACCCAUUACGGAGGGAGAAUGGGCUGUGACUGAGACAAGUAACUCUUCACCAGCAUUAGAUGAAAUCGCCUGGAGGCGUAGAAGUAUUGUAUAUGUGGCUUUAUUAUGCACAGGUGUUAUUUUUGCUCUAGGUGCUCUGACUAUCUGGCAUGGAAAGCUUAUCAGCCGUGGUGAAACUAGUAUCGAGGCCAACAUCAACAAAAAAGAACGUGAGCGACUAGCCAAGUACAAAAAGACUUACAUCAAUCCAUAUGACUUCGGAAGAUGGAAAAACUGGAUGCUGUUUUUAGGACUGACCAAUGGAAGAGGGUGGAGAUACAUACUGUUUCCCUCAGUUCACCCACCUGUUGGGACUGGACUGCGUUGGAAAACUGUCCAUUCUGACAGUGAUGGAGAAAGUGAUGAUGAAGAUUACAAUACUUUACAUUCAUGUGUGUCUAGUUGAACUUUUGGGAUUCAUUUGCAUCAAUCCAGAGAACACGGUUUUGUCAAAAUGUCAUCAAGUGAUGUCAGUGUCAAGAUUUGUUGUCAAUUUUGCACCAAAUGAUAUAUUACAAUGGUCAUAAUGAUAUCAAAGCUGGCCAUCAAAUGACCAAGUAUUGACACUGACAUCAUUUGACGUCAUUGUGACCAAACCGUGUUCUCUGGGAUUCCCAAUGUGUCAAUUAGGGAAAAAUUUCAGUUUGUCUACAUCUUGUAAAAGCAAUUACACAAUAAUAUGACGAUGUUUUUUAGCCGCUGAUUAGCCAGGUCAGAAUGACAUCCGUACUCAAGCAGAACCCAUUACGCUUGAAGUGUCGGCUGACGCCCAUACAUACAUUCUCGAGUGGCCCUUUUCGUGGUGCGUCGGUAAUCUGAGAAGCACAGAGAGCUCAAUGUGGCGUGGUCCCUCGCGAUCGGAUGGUCCGAUCCAAAAGCGCUCAGCGAGUUAGGCAGUCCCGUGGCACAACGCUGCCGGACGGUGUGGCCUACCCUGCGGUCAUCGGGCGCUCGGCGGUCGCUCUGCACAGGAAACCG